UCCCUGAUGGUCCAGUGGUUAGGACUCCAUGCUUCCACUGUGGGGGGCAGAGGUUUGAACCCUGGUUGUGGAA
Molecule: transfer RNA, 73 nt
Filed under: Capra hircus (goat)
Lineage: Eukaryota; Metazoa; Chordata; Mammalia; Artiodactyla; Bovidae
Also listed under: 1 other name
Rfam family: tRNA
About the family: Transfer RNA (tRNA) molecules are approximately 80 nucleotides in length. Their secondary structure includes four short double-helical elements and three loops (D, anti-codon, and T loops). Further hydrogen bonds mediate the characteristic L-shaped molecular structure. tRNAs have two regions of fundamental functional importance: the anti-codon, which is responsible for specific mRNA codon recognition, and the 3' end, to which the tRNAs corresponding amino acid is attached (by aminoacyl-tRNA synthetases). tRNAs cope with the degeneracy of the genetic code in two manners: having more than one tRNA (with a specific anti-codon) for a particular amino acid; and 'wobble' base-pairing, i.e. permitting non-standard base-pairing at the 3rd anti-codon position.
Source: Rfam by way of RNAcentral